This 1373-nucleotide long non-coding RNA is filed under the name Dicentrarchus labrax (European seabass). RNAcentral's name for it is "lncRNA (ENSDLAG00005033758.1)". The record is from RNAcentral. Lineage: Eukaryota; Metazoa; Chordata; Actinopteri; Moronidae.
CAUUUUGGCAUGAAAUUGUAGGGUAAACACAGGUGCAACAAUGAUGCUAAUGAGGGCUCCGCACGUUCAGGUUGGCUCAUUGGGAAGACUGUGCUACACUAACUGGAACAGGACCUCAAUCAGUGUGAUUGUUUGGCCCGAUUUAGACAGUCUUGAGAUUGACAGCAAAUAUCGUUUGAAUGAAAGUCGGAUACCGAGACCUGUGAAGUGGACAUUUUCAACAUGAAAACAUAUCGGGAAGGUUUGACAGACAGCUCUGGACAAAAACAGGCCUUUUAAGGGGACGAGAAGUAGCUUCAACUACAGCUUCAAAGAGACGGAGAGCCUCCAAAGGACAUAUGAUGAUGAGGAAGCAGAAAGGGGGAAGGGCAGAGUGCGGAGCAACGGUUGCAGAGGUCCUUUUCCUGGUGGUAGAGAUGGGAGAAAAUGUGCUUUACCGCCGGAAGAAGAAUACAACUGCAGGCUUUCUCACAUCGCAGCAGAGCAUGGAGAAAAUUUCAAGUGCACGUCUAAGGAUGCGUCAGACAGGAGACAACCUCUUCAGUCUUGGCAGAAACAAAUGGAGUACAAUACCUGUGAUUCUUCAGAGCAGUUCUGCUGUGAACAGUACUGUACAAGGCAAACUUUGUCUACAGUUGGAAUCCGGACACAAGCCAUUUACUCAGUAACAUCAUUAACUAACCUGUGAUGAAGUGUUUGCCACAGACGUACACAUAUUGACGGUCCGGGUCCCACAGUUUACCCUUUUUAUCCUCCCUGUUUAUGGCCUGAAGCCACAGAUCUCUUUCACUGUCCUUUGUUCUUUGGGGAAGUAAAGAAAAUCGUAAAGUGUUAUUUUUAUUUUAUUGUUUUAUGUGCAAUAUGCGACCCAGCAGCUUUUAGGCAUGGUGCCACUAGGCACUUUUACAGUGGGGGCGUGGUCGUUCUGAAGACAAGACGGUGAUGCAUGUCUGCUCUCAUCUAAAGAGGCAGCUCUCUAAGCUGUGGCGUCCACUGGUUCCUUUUUACUUGCUGAAAAAAAGUUGCUUUUGGGGCCAGUUGUCUGGUCUUGCACACAAGGUGAGACUGAGGUGGGUCCUCAGAAUCUGUGCCAUUUAUUUUGACAGAGCAAUGACUAAUGGUGUAACUUCAUCACUUAGUCAGUUUGGUUCUGUUGACUGUUGGUCAGACAAAACAAUACAUUAUUCUGCACAACUUUAUUCAGGGUAGGCUGCAAGAUGUGGUGAAAAGCUAGCGAAUGAUCCUUGAUUUAAGAUUUUGUCAAACUACUAUUCCCAAGAUCAAGAGUGAACAUUCACUCUCAAAUGGCAAAUGAUGUAUUCUUUGUGAUGUCAUAUUAAUGAAUAUUAAUAAACGAUUUUGUCAGUCAAAAA